Molecule: ribosomal RNA, 440 nt
Filed under: uncultured bacterium
Lineage: Bacteria
Description: partial 16S ribosomal RNA
Rfam family: Bacterial small subunit ribosomal RNA
Source: RNAcentral
CCUACGGGUGGCAGCAGUAGGGAAUAUUGCACAAUGGAGGAAACUCUGAUGCAGCGACGCCGCGUGAGUGAAGAAGGAUUUCGGUACGUAAAGCUCUAUCAGCAGGGAAGAACAUGACGGUAACUGACUGAGUGGCCCCGGCUAACUUCGUGCCAGCAGCCGCGGUAAUACGUCGGGGGCACACGUUCGCCGGAUUUACUGGGUGUAAAGGGAGCGUAGACGGCUGCACAAGUCUGGAGUGAACGCCCGGGGCUCAACCCCGGGAGUGCAUUGGAAACUGGUCGGCUUGAGUGCAGGAGGGGUGAGCGGAAUGCCGAGUGUAGCGGUGAAAUGCGUAGAUAUUAGGAGGAACACCAGUGGCGAAGGCGGCUCACUGGACUGUAACUGACGUUGAGGCUCGAAAGCGUGGGGAGCAAACAGGAUUAGAUACCCGUGUAGUG